GCGGAGGUGGUUCAGUGGUACAAUUCUCACCUUCCAUGCCGGAGACACUGGGUUCGAUUCCCAGCCAGUGCA
RNAcentral lists this transfer RNA (72 nucleotides) under Loxodonta africana (African savanna elephant). It matches the Rfam family "tRNA". Rfam says of the family: Transfer RNA (tRNA) molecules are approximately 80 nucleotides in length. Their secondary structure includes four short double-helical elements and three loops (D, anti-codon, and T loops). Further hydrogen bonds mediate the characteristic L-shaped molecular structure. tRNAs have two regions of fundamental functional importance: the anti-codon, which is responsible for specific mRNA codon recognition, and the 3' end, to which the tRNAs corresponding amino acid is attached (by aminoacyl-tRNA synthetases). tRNAs cope with the degeneracy of the genetic code in two manners: having more than one tRNA (with a specific anti-codon) for a particular amino acid; and 'wobble' base-pairing, i.e. permitting non-standard base-pairing at the 3rd anti-codon position. Lineage: Eukaryota; Metazoa; Chordata; Mammalia; Proboscidea; Elephantidae. The record is from Rfam by way of RNAcentral.